CCUACGGGAGGCAGCAGUGGGGAAUAUUGGACAAUGGGGGCAACCCUGAUCCAGCCAUGCCGCGUGGGUGAUGAAGGCCUUAGGGUUGUAAAGCCCUUUCGGCGGGGAAGAUAAUGACGGUACCCGCAGAAGAAGCCCCGGCUAACUUCGUGCCAGCAGCCGCGGUAAUACGAAGGGGGCUAGCGUUGCUCGGAAUCACUGGGCGUAAAGCGCACGUAGGCGGAUCGUUAAGUCAGGGGUGAAAUCCUGGAGCUCAACUCCAGAACUGCCUUUGAUACUGGCGAUCUUGAGUUCGGGAGAGGUGAGUGGAACUGCGAGUGUAGAGGUGAAAUUCGUAGAUAUUCGCAAGAACACCAGUGGCGAAGGCGGCUCACUGGCCCGAAACUGACGCUGAGGUGCGAAAGCGUGGGGAGCAAACAGGAUUAGAUACCCCAGUAGUC
This 440-nucleotide ribosomal RNA is filed under the name uncultured bacterium. Its description in RNAcentral is "bacterial SSU rRNA". It matches the Rfam family "Bacterial small subunit ribosomal RNA", at positions 338 to 795 of the family's 1533-position model. The record is from RNAcentral.